RNAcentral lists this ribosomal RNA (426 nucleotides) under uncultured bacterium. Its description in RNAcentral is "bacterial SSU rRNA". It matches the Rfam family "Bacterial small subunit ribosomal RNA", at positions 354 to 796 of the family's 1533-position model. The record is from RNAcentral.
GUGAGGAAUUUUCCGCAAUGGGCGAAAGCCUGACGGAGCAAUGCCGCGUGAAGGAUGAAGGCCUAUGGGUUGUAAACUUCUUUUCUCAGAAAAGAAUUAUGACGGUAUCUGAGGAAUAAGCAUCGGCUAACUCUGUGCCAGCAGCCGCGGUAAGACAGAGGAUGCAAGCGUUAUCCGGAAUGAUUGGGCGUAAAGCGUCUGUAGGUUGUUUAAAAAGUAUUCUGUCAAAGAUUAGGGCUUAACCCUAGAUAGGCAGAAUAAACUUUUAAGCUAGAGUUUGGUAGAGGCAGAGGGAAUUCCCGGUGGAGCGGUGAAAUGCAUAGAUAUCGGGAGGAACACCAAAGGCGAAGGCACUCUGCUGGGCCAAUACUAACACUGAGAGACGAAAGCGAGGGGAGCAAAUGGGAUUAGAAACCCGAGUAGUCC